This 322-nucleotide small RNA is filed under the name Oryza sativa Japonica Group (Japanese rice). RNAcentral describes it as "sRNA Os09g0556300". The record is from RNAcentral. Lineage: Eukaryota; Viridiplantae; Streptophyta; Magnoliopsida; Poales; Poaceae.
AGAUGGUGAGGAUGAUGAUGAUGAGGAUGAUGAUGAUGAGGAAGAUGAUGAUGACGAGGACCAGCCGCCUUCCAAGAAGAAGAAAUGAGCUAGCCUCCUUCAUCCUGCAUCUGCCUCCUCAACUUGUUUCAGUCUGUUGUGCUGUUUAGAUGAUGGAACAGGUUAUGGGACCUAUGUAGCUUAUGGUUUGGGUUGUUUGGGUCUCUCAUAGGAGUAGGAAAACAUUUGACAUCUGAUGUUAAGCCGUUCUCUUGUGUUUUGCCUUUGUGCAUGUAGACGUAAAAUGCUGCGGUGUGUUAUUUAUUGGAGAUCUGAUUCUGUC